CCAUGAUUCCUAUGAUGGACAGGAAUAAAGAACACGAAAAACCAGCAUCUCAGGUAGGAUUUUUACAAGGUAUCUGCAUCCCUUGUUAUGAUUUACUACAAAAAUUAGUUCCUGAAACAAGACUAAUGCUGGACGGUUGUCAAAAAAAUCUUCAAAAGUGGCAAGAAUUAGCCAACCAGCAAGAAAAUAAGUAAAUUAAUGUGGUUUUUGUUUUCAUACUUUGGCAUAUAAAUGGAUGAAUAUCUGUUUAAUUUAUUGUUAAGUAAAUCUUUUGUAUGAUUGAAGAAUGGUACAAAGCCAAAUCGUAAUCCAAAAAUGGCAUUUAUAAAAUAUUUAAAACUACAAAUAGCCAAAUGAUAUAAUGAUAUUUGGAGUAAUGCAUAGAGAAUAAGCAAAUUAUUGUAUGAAUCUCAUAUCUGCUAAUGUACAUGCUGUUAAUUUGCCGGAAUUUGAGGAGUCCGAAAAAGUAUACAUACUCUUGUUACUAUAAGAAAAACAGACCAUGCAACUGAUAAAGAAUAAUAAUUAUUUUAAUUUGUUGUGGCGACAGUCCUCGGAUUAAAAUCUAUUUUUAUAAUAAAUAAAUAAUAUAUUUAUUAUAAGUGUCUGUAAGGCAAAUUUUAUAGCAGUGCCUGAAAAUAUGAGAUUUUGAAUGCUGUAUGGAUGAAGUAAGAAAACAAUCAACUUUCUACAUAAAAGCAUGCCAGGGGCAGUUAUUGUGAUUUAAAUACUACAUUUUAAUGACAACAAUCAUGUUAAAUGCUCCCAAUAGACAUCUUAGUUGGACUGUCUUUGUCUUCUGAUCAAUUUGGGAUGUCUUAAAUGGUUUUAAAUCUAUUUAUCGAAUGAUCGUGUAAUUAUUUUUUAAGCUGUUAUGAAUAUGUUACAUAAUCAUUUGUAUUAUAUGAAGUACAUUGUAAAUGUCUGUACAAUUGUUCUGAUUCGUCUGUGAUAGAAAAAAACAAUUACCAUCAACAUUGUUGGUUUGUUGUUUAAAAUACAAAAUAUCUACAGUAUUAUUGAUAUUUGUACAGCUAUAUUGUAUAAAAAAAAGUUACUAUAAGU
This is a long non-coding RNA of Centruroides sculpturatus (bark scorpion), 1065 nucleotides long. RefSeq lists it as uncharacterized. The transcript is spliced from 3 exons. The record is from RefSeq and is a predicted model, not a curated record. NCBI's taxonomy places the organism in Eukaryota, Metazoa, Arthropoda, Arachnida, Scorpiones, Buthidae.